UUUCCGUAGGUGAACCUGCGGAAGGAUCAUUAUUGAAUGAACUUGGUAGUGGUUGUAGCUGGCUCUCUCGAGAGCAUGUGCACACCCGCCAUCUUUAUCUUUCCACCUGUGCACUUCUUGUAGACUUUGGGAUUUGAAAACUUAUCCGGGGCAACUCGGUCGGGAGGAGCUGCUGUAGCAAUACGGCUCUCCUUGACAAGUCUUCAAAGUCUAUGUUUUUCAUAUUCCCCAUAGUAUGUAACAGAAUGUAUACAAAUGAGCCUUAGUGCUUAUAAAACUUAUACAACUUUCAACAACGGAUCUCUUGGCUCUC
RNAcentral lists this unclassified non-coding RNA (313 nucleotides) under plant metagenome. Its description in RNAcentral is "partial contains small subunit ribosomal RNA, internal transcribed spacer 1, and 5.8S ribosomal RNA". The record is from RNAcentral.